UGUCCCAGCAGCCGGGGUAAUACGGAGGAUGCAAGCGUUAUCCGGAAUCAUUGGGCGUAAAGCGUCCGCAGGUGGCGUAUCAAGUCUGCUGUUAAAGACAGAAGCUCAACUUCUGGCAGGCAGUGGAAACUGGUAAGCUAGAGUACGGUAGGGGUUGAGGGAAUUCCCAGUGUAGCGGUGAAAUGCGUAGAUAUUGGGAAGAACACCAGUGGCGAAGGCGCUCAACUGGGCCUGUACUGACACUGAGGGACGAAAGCUAGGGGAGCGAAAGGGAUUAGAUACCCCUGUAGUCCUAGCUGUAAACGAUGAACACUAGGCGUUGCUUGUAUCGACCCGAGCAGUGCCGUAGCCAACGCGUUAAGUGUUCCGCCUGGGGAGUACGCACGCAAGUGUGAAACUCAAAGGAAUUGACGGGGGCCCGCACAAGCGGUGGAGUAUGUGGUUUAAUUCGAUGCAACGCGAAGAACCUUACCAGGACUUGACAGUUCGCGAAUCUGGGGGAAACUUCAGAGUGCCUUAGGGAGCGCGAAAACAGGUGGUGCAUGGCUGUCGUCAGCUCGUGUCGUGAGAUGUUGGGUUAAGUCCCGCAACGAGCGCAACCCUCGUUCUUAGUUGCCAGCAGUAAGAUGGGCACUUUAGGAAGACUGCCGGUGACAAACCGGAGGAAGGUGGGGAUGACGUCAAGUCAGCAUGCCCCUUACGUUCUGGGCUACACACGUACUACAAUGGUUGGGACAAAGGGCAGCAAGCUCGCGAGAGUAAGCGAAUCUCAGCAAACCCAGCCUCAGUUCAGAUUGCAGGCUGCAACUCGCCUGCAUGAAGGAGGAAUCGCUAGUAAUCGCAGGUCAGCAUACUGCGGUGAAUUCGUUCCCGGGCCUUGUACACACCGCCCGUCACACCAUGGAAGUUGGCCACGCCCGAAGUCGUUACCCUAACCGUUCGCGGAGGGGGAUGC
Molecule: ribosomal RNA, 955 nt
Filed under: uncultured bacterium
Lineage: Bacteria
Description: bacterial SSU rRNA
Rfam family: Bacterial small subunit ribosomal RNA
Source: RNAcentral